UAAUAGGAGAUUCUUCAAGCCGGUAGAUCUAAAGCUCAUGUCAUGGUUUAUUGGCCGUUAGGGUAUAUAGGGAAACUUGUAUAUCUGCCAGUGCGCAAUGAAGAACACCGCUAACAAG
This 118-nucleotide non-coding RNA is filed under the name Sporomusa sphaeroides. RNAcentral describes it as "Sporomusa sp. MoCo sequence". It matches the Rfam family "Molybdenum/Tungsten riboswitch aptamer (Moco RNA motif)". Lineage: Bacteria; Bacillati; Bacillota; Negativicutes; Selenomonadales; Sporomusaceae. RNAcentral also lists the same sequence under 1 other name. The record is from RNAcentral.